GCUAGGGUUGGCCACAAAGUUCUAGUUGUUUCCUGGGGUUGUUGGGAAAUGACAACCUCUGCUGUGUUAAGACUUCCUUAUUCUCGAGGGUUUGGGAGUGACAUUAACCUAACACACACGGAUUAGAGCCUUGUGAUCCCCUCCACCGGCCAGCGCCCAGAGAGAGCCAGCGUCCUUCUGGGGCCUUGGGGCCUCAUCUGUGAAACACUCUGCCGUGUGAGAGGAUGCCAUAAGGUCACUGGCAUGAAGUGUGUAGUGUCCUGCACAGGUACUUGUGAGUCAACCCGAGCCGCACAACUGUGUCUAGCACACUCCGUCGCUGCCCCUACCAUCAUGUGGGACGAGCUGUCCCCCUGGAGGCCCCACGGUCCCUUCUAGAGACAUUCCGAAGCAUCCAGAGACUGGGGACCCACACGUGCCGCUGGCCUCGCGGAGCCCGAGAUGCGGAGAUAAAGGAACCAGCCCAGAGAGGCUAAGUGACAUGAGACCUACACAUGAGAGACGUAAGAUUUGAACCCAGGUCCCUGCUCCAAAGCCUACUGCACCAUGUGGCUGCUUGGGCACCUCACUCCCCUUUCUGCUACUCCUCCCACUGAGCCCUUCCUGUGACUCUAGUCUGGCCCUAUAACCUGAUUCAACCAAUAAAACAUGGUAGAGGCAA
Suricata suricatta (meerkat) is the source of this 661-nucleotide long non-coding RNA. RefSeq lists it as uncharacterized. The record is from RefSeq and is a predicted model, not a curated record. NCBI's taxonomy places the organism in Eukaryota, Metazoa, Chordata, Mammalia, Carnivora, Herpestidae. The transcript is spliced from 3 exons.